AUCCUACUCCCUCCGUCCGGAAAUACUUGUCCUAAAGAUGAAUACAAUGAAUGUAUCUAUAACUAAAAUAAGUUUAGAUACAUUCAUCUCUAGGACAAGNNUUUCCGGACGGAGGGAGUAUUAG
Hordeum vulgare subsp. vulgare (domesticated barley) is the source of this 124-nucleotide non-coding RNA. Lineage: Eukaryota; Viridiplantae; Streptophyta; Magnoliopsida; Poales; Poaceae. The record is from Rfam.